Molecule: unclassified non-coding RNA, 788 nt
Filed under: Hevea brasiliensis (rubber tree)
Lineage: Eukaryota; Viridiplantae; Streptophyta; Magnoliopsida; Malpighiales; Euphorbiaceae
Source: RNAcentral
CGAAGCUCUCUCUCUCUUCUCUCUCUCAGUAGAGCUUUCUCUCUCCUAGGGUAUCCAUCGAUCCCUCGGUAGAUCGCCGGAUCCGAUCUUCCCCGGCCGAAAUCCGGCGACUGAUUCGGCAUCAUCGGCUUCCAAAUUCCUGCCGGCAGCGAUGUUUCUCGUCGACUGGUUCUACGGCGUUCUCGCCUCGCUGGGCCUGUGGCAGAAGGAGGCGAAGAUCCUCUUCCUCGGACUCGACAACGCCGGCAAGACUACGCUGCUGCACAUGCUCAAGGACGAGAGGUUGGUCCAGCACCAGCCGACACAGUACCCGACGUCCGAGGAGCUGAGCAUCGGGAAGAUCAAGUUCAAGGCGUUUGAUCUCGGGGGGCAUCAGAUUGCUCGCCGGGUUUGGAAGGAUUACUACGCGAAGGUGGAUGCUGUUGUGUACUUGGUGGAUUCUGCUGACAAGGAAAGGUUUGCAGAGUCGAAGAAAGAGCUGGACGCACUGCUGUCAGAUGAUUCGCUGGCCACUGUUCCUUUCCUGAUCCUGGGCAACAAAAUUGAUAUUCAUUAUGCAGCUUCAGAGGAAGAACUACGCUACAGCCUUGGCCUGGCCAGCUUCACCACCGGCAAGGGCAAAGUGAACCUUUCAGAUUCCAAUGUGCGCCCUCUUGAGGUGUUCAUGUGCAGCAUUGUUCGUAAGAUGGGCUAUGGUGAAGGUUUCAAGUGGAUGUCCCAGUACAUCAAGUAAUUUGACGGUGAGAAUGAAAAACCUGGGGAUACUGUCGCUUUUAUCUUUAUCUAGU